CAGUCAGUCAGACAGUCAUCAGUUGGACAGGAUGGAGCUCCGUCCACUCUGUGUGAUGUUCUUGCUGACUGAACUCAUCCUCUGUACACAAACAGGUGAUUUAGGUUGCACUAACACUUCCUGUCAGCAGCUGUACAUGUGAAGGAUCAUUUAGUGCCCUCAUAUUUCUGC
Molecule: long non-coding RNA, 171 nt
Organism: Tachysurus vachellii
Lineage: Eukaryota; Metazoa; Chordata; Actinopteri; Siluriformes; Bagridae
Exons: 3
Source: RefSeq, a predicted model, not a curated record